AGUGAACGCUGGCGGUAGGCCUAACACAUGCAAGUCGAACGGCAGCACAGUAAGAGCUUGCUCUUACGGGUGGCGAGUGGCGGACGGGUGAGGAAUACAUCGGAAUCUACUUUUUCGUGGGGGAUAACGUAGGGAAACUUACGCUAAUACCGCAUACGACCUACGGGUGAAAGCAGGGGAUCUUCGGACCUUACGCGAUUGAAUGAGCCGAUGUCGGAUUAGCUAGUUGGCGGGGUAAAGGCCCACCAAGGCGACGAUCCGUAGCUGGUCUGAGAGGAUGAUCAGCCACACUGGAACUGAGACACGGUCCAGACUCCUACGGGAGGCAGCAGUGGGGAAUAUUGGACAAUGGGCGCAAGCCUGAUCCAGCCAUACCGCGUGGGUGAAGAAGGCCUUCGGGUUGUAAAGCCCUUUUGUUGGGAAAGAAAAGCAGCAGGUUAAGACCCCGCUGUUCUGACGGUACCCAAAGAAUAAGCACCGGCUAACUUCGU
This 491-nucleotide ribosomal RNA is filed under the name uncultured bacterium. RNAcentral's name for it is "partial 16S ribosomal RNA". It matches the Rfam family "Bacterial small subunit ribosomal RNA", at positions 29 to 506 of the family's 1533-position model. The record is from RNAcentral.